This 250-nucleotide ribosomal RNA is filed under the name uncultured prokaryote. Its description in RNAcentral is "partial 16S ribosomal RNA". It matches the Rfam family "Bacterial small subunit ribosomal RNA", at positions 524 to 775 of the family's 1533-position model. The record is from RNAcentral.
UACGUAGGUGGCGAGCGUUAUCCGGAUUUAUUGGGCGUAAAGCGUCCGCAGCCGGUUUAUUAAGUCUAGAAUUAAAGCCUGAAGCUUAACUUCAGUUCGUUUUAGAUACUGUAGGCUAGAGUGUGGUAAAGGCAAGUGGAACUUCCAGUGUAGCGGUAAAAUGCGUAGAUAUUGGAAAGAACACCAGUGGCGAAGGCGACUUGCUGGGCCACCACUGACGGUCAGGGACGAAAGCGUGGGUAGCAAAUAG